This 264-nucleotide long non-coding RNA is filed under the name Elaeis guineensis (African oil palm). RNAcentral describes it as "long non-coding RNA (EGUI_LNC028664)". The record is from RNAcentral. Lineage: Eukaryota; Viridiplantae; Streptophyta; Magnoliopsida; Arecales; Arecaceae.
CAUGCUCAACACAUGAAUUUAAAAUUUUUUCUUAUUUUCAUGCUCUAAGAUUUGUAUGGGGGAAUUUUAAAAAAUUCCGGGUCCUUGCAAAAAGAAUACUCAAACUCUGGCUCAUCAUCUCAACAGAAAUAUAAUCAGACAACUUUCCAACAUCCCAUUGCCUGUUUGGUAAGACAAAGUCAACAGCUUUCAGCUCAUAGGAUUCAUGAUUCAAAUUAAUAAGAGUUGGCCAGGCAGAGAAUGAAACAUUAACUGCUUGACCUU